Molecule: ribosomal RNA, 448 nt
Filed under: uncultured bacterium
Lineage: Bacteria
Description: partial 16S ribosomal RNA
Rfam family: Bacterial small subunit ribosomal RNA
Source: RNAcentral
UGGGGAAUAUUGCACAAUGGGCGCAAGCCUGAUGCAGCGACGCCGCGUGAGGGAUGACGGCCUUCGGGUUGUAAACCUCUUUCAGCAGGGACGAAGCGCAAGUGACGGUACCUGCAGAAGAAGCACCGGCCAACUACGUGCCAGCAGCCGCGGUAAUACGUAGGGUGCGAGCGUUGUCCGGAAUUACUGGGCGUAAAGAGCUCGUAGGCGGUUUGUCGCGUCGUCUGUGAAAUUCUGCAGCUUAACUGCAGGCGUGCAGGCGAUACGGGCAGACUUGAGUACUACAGGGGAGACUGGAAUUCCUGGUGUAGCGGUGAAUGCGCAGAUAUCAGGAGGAACACCGGUGGCGAAGGCGGGUCUCUGGGUAGUAACUGACGCUGAGGAGCGAAAGCGUGGGUAGCGAACAGGAUUAGAUACCCUGGUAGUCCACGCCGUAAACGGUGGGUAC